CCUACGGGUGUGCAGCAGUGGGGGAUAUUGCACAAUGGGGGGAACCCUGAUGCAGCGACGCCGCGUGGGUGAAGAAGCGCCUCGGCGCGUAAAGCCCUGUCAGCAGGGAAGAAAAUGACGGUACCUGAAGAAGAAGCCCCGGCUAACUACGUGCCAGCAGCAGCGGUAAUACGUAGGGGGCAAGCGUUAUCCGGAUUUACUGGGAGUAACGGGGGCGCAGACGGCGAUGCAAGCCAGGAGUGAAAGCCCGGGGCCCAACCCCGGGACGGCUCUUGGAACUGCGUGGCUGGGGUGCAGGUGGGGCAGGCGGAAUUCCUGGUGUAGCGGGGAAAGGCGUAGAUAUCAGGAGGAACACCGGUGGCGAGGGCGGCCUGCUGGACUGCAACUGACGUUGAGGCCCGAAAGCGUGGGGAGCAAACAGGAUUAGAUACCCGUGUAGC
This 440-nucleotide ribosomal RNA is filed under the name uncultured bacterium. RNAcentral describes it as "partial 16S ribosomal RNA". It matches the Rfam family "Bacterial small subunit ribosomal RNA", at positions 338 to 794 of the family's 1533-position model. The record is from RNAcentral.